This 1120-nucleotide ribosomal RNA is filed under the name human gut metagenome. Its description in RNAcentral is "bacterial SSU rRNA". It matches the Rfam family "Bacterial small subunit ribosomal RNA", at positions 394 to 1520 of the family's 1533-position model. The record is from RNAcentral.
ACGCCGCGUGCGGGAUGACGGCCUUCGGGUUGUAAACCGCUUUUGAUCGGGAGCAAGCCUUCGGGUGAGUGUACCUUUCGAAUAAGCACCGGCUAACUACGUGCCAGCAGCCGCGGUAAUACGUAGGGUGCAAGCGUUAUCCGGAAUUAUUGGGCGUAAAGGGCUCGUAGGCGGUUCGUCGCGUCCGGUGUGAAAGUCCAUCGCUUAACGGUGGAUCUGCGCCGGGUACGGGCGGGCUGGAGUGCGGUAGGGGAGACUGGAAUUCCCGGUGUAACGGUGGAAUGUGUAGAUAUCGGGAAGAACACCAAUGGCGAAGGCAGGUCUCUGGGCCGUUACUGACGCUGAGGAGCGAAAGCGUGGGGAGCGAACAGGAUUAGAUACCCUGGUAGUCCACGCCGUAAACGGUGGAUGCUGGAUGUGGGGCCCGUUCCACGGGUUCCGUGUCGGAGCUAACGCGUUAAGCAUCCCGCCUGGGGAGUACGGCCGCAAGGCUAAAACUCAAAGAAAUUGACGGGGGCCCGCACAAGCGGCGGAGCAUGCGGAUUAAUUCGAUGCAACGCGAAGAACCUUACCUGGGCUUGACAUGUUCCCGACAGCCGUAGAGAUAUGGCCUCCCUUCGGGGCGGGUUCACAGGUGGUGCAUGGUCGUCGUCAGCUCGUGUCGUGAGAUGUUGGGUUAAGUCCCGCAACGAGCGCAACCCCCGCCCUGUGUUGCCAGCACGUCAUGGUGGGAACUCACGGGGGACCGCCGGGGUCAACUCGGAGGAAGGUGGGGAUGACGUCAGAUCAUCAUGCCCCUUACGUCCAGGGCUUCACGCAUGCUACAAUGGCCGGUACAACGGGAUGCGACACGGCGACGUGGAGCGGAUCCCUGAAAACCGGUCUCAGUUCGGAUUGGAGUCUGCAACCCGACUCCAUGAAGGCGGAGUCGCUAGUAAUCGCGGAUCAGCAACGCCGCGGUGAAUGCGUUCCCGGGCCUUGUACACACCGCCCGUCAAGUCAUGAAAGUGGGUAGCACCCGAAGCCGGUGGCCUAACCCUUUGUGGAUGGAGCCGUCUAAGGUGAGACUCGUGAUUGGGACUAAGUCGUAACAAGGUAGCCGUACCGGAAGGUGCGGCUG